RNAcentral lists this transfer RNA (70 nucleotides) under Daphnia magna. It matches the Rfam family "tRNA". From Rfam's summary of the family: Transfer RNA (tRNA) molecules are approximately 80 nucleotides in length. Their secondary structure includes four short double-helical elements and three loops (D, anti-codon, and T loops). The record is from Rfam by way of RNAcentral. Lineage: Eukaryota; Metazoa; Arthropoda; Branchiopoda; Diplostraca; Daphniidae.
GCCUCUAUAGCCUAAUUAAGACACCAGCCUCCUAAGCCGGGGAUUGCGAUUUCGAGUCUCGCAAGAGGUA